Long non-coding RNA from Drosophila miranda, 1540 nucleotides. RefSeq lists it as uncharacterized. The transcript is spliced from 5 exons. The record is from RefSeq and is a predicted model, not a curated record. NCBI's taxonomy places the organism in Eukaryota, Metazoa, Arthropoda, Insecta, Diptera, Drosophilidae.
UUGUGUGUGGUGGAUCUAUAGCACGAUCAAGCGCUGUACUGUCCGUAAACUAUAGCCGCUGGCCGUUUUCGAGAUGGACAGCUAAAUGUAUAACUGCUAGAUCCCGUUCAUGAAUUGGGAAACCGAAAAUACGCCAGACAGCUUCAUUGGAACUGAUAUACCGCCCAAUUUGCGAUACACGUGGUCUGAUAACGGAAUUUUUUCCCAAAUCUUUUGACAAUAUCCAUACAAUUAUAACUCAAUUAACAUGGAACAGCUAACAAUAGUUAAUAAUGUGUUGAGCAAAGCCAUAAAACAAGUAUUGUAUUGAAUCAGUAGAUCAGUUCUCUAUCCAUAUGGCAGGUUCAAGAGUCCCUGGACAAGUAUAUGUAUGUACUAAACUACAAGAUCAAAUGCCCUAUUUGCAAAACGUAUCUCUUAUAUCAAAUCUUAUCGUCGAGCUUCGCGAGAAAUCCUUUGAUUUCCCAGUCACCAGAUAAAAGAAAUAAAGAUUGCUAAAUCUUUAUCGGAUCGGCCUAUCUGGUAUGUGUUUGAUAUACAACAGAAUUGCAGGAAUAAGGUGAGAUAUCGUAAGGUAAAGAUACGAUUAGAUGCGAGUACUUAAGUUUUGAUGCCGAUAAAUCAACAAAUGCUGAUAGACCUAUACGUGCAAGUGCAGGUAGUGCAACAAUGAAAUGGCCAAUACUUAGAAGGUGAAUCAGAGAAGGUGACCUAGAUCUGGACAUGAAACACACACUCUCAAUUACUCAGCCACACUGGGAGAGGACGUGGAGGUCUUUAUGGCACUUUAAACAGGUGGAUAUCAAUAAAGAUCUAGCUGAGAUAUUAUCGUUUAUCAAGGCGGACGGACAUGGAUAUAUCGACUUGGCUGUGGAUGCUACGCUUCUUUUUACCUGUUGCAUACAUCCUCACGAUUUCAAUAUACCCUAGUAAUCUUCGAGUACCGGGGUAUAAAAGCGAAUACCGUUUCGCAGUUAAUUUGCCAUUGGGUCAAUCGUUUCCUAGCCAAAAAAGCCACAAUACUGCCAAUCAAAAAAAUAUCCACAGGUGGCUGCAGUCAUUUCCUUCAGCGAUCUUGUUUUUAUUUUGUUGGAUUGUCGUCUGCCUCCAUUAUUUUAUAACAUUUUUGUGGUUGUUUUUGCUUUAUUUCUGCACUAAAUACAAUACAUAUUUGUCGAGUUUUUUUUUAUUGUCAAAUUAUUGCUUUUGACGAGUUUUUGUUGGGUAGCGGCCUUUUGUAGAGUUUUAAUGGAGAAGGCAGGCGGGCCGGCUAUCAACGUCCGCUUUGAUCGUGUGCUACGCCUUGGAGCUUUCAACGAACAAUUUGUUGCGAAAUUAGUUUAAUUAUAUUUCAAUUAAAGCACAAACAAAGCAAACCGAGCUCCAAAAAUCCCCAACAGAAUUGAGUAAUUAAAACGGUUGGGAAAGUACAUAGUAAGUAUAGUAGGUAUGUGCAACAAUUCGUCAUGGAGAUGAUCUCAUUGGAAAAGAGAUGGCGAUUGUACUCGUACUCGUGCAACAUGGGAAUUUAUAAACAAAU